RNAcentral lists this unclassified non-coding RNA (271 nucleotides) under fungal sp. Its description in RNAcentral is "partial internal transcribed spacer region". The stretch from base 1 to 45 matches the Rfam family "Eukaryotic small subunit ribosomal RNA", at positions 1787 to 1831 of the family's 1831-position model. The record is from RNAcentral. Lineage: Eukaryota; Fungi.
AGUCGUAACAAGGUAUCCGUAGGUGAACCUGCGGAUGGAUCAUUAUAGGGUGUUGGGUAAUUGUGAGUGGUUUUAUUAUUAGUAGUUUGAGCGGUGUUGGUUGGGAUGCGAAGCAGGAUUGCGAAGCAGGAUUGCCAAGCAGGAUUGCCAAGCAGGAUUGCCAAGCAGGAUUGCCAAGCAAGACAGCCAACAUUGCCUCACGUUAAACUCUAUAAAUCUAACAAUUACAUACAAAAAAAAACAACUUUUAGCAACGGAUCUCUUGGCUCUC